This 2214-nucleotide ribosomal RNA is filed under the name Chloroflexota bacterium. RNAcentral describes it as "partial 23S ribosomal RNA". It matches the Rfam family "Bacterial large subunit ribosomal RNA", at positions 740 to 2925 of the family's 2925-position model. The record is from RNAcentral. Lineage: Bacteria; Bacillati; Chloroflexota.
CCAGGGUGAAGGCAGGGUAAUACCUGCUGGAGGCCCGAACCGGGUAAUGUUGAAAAAUUAUCGGAUGAGCUGUGGAUAGGAGUGAAAGGCUAAUCAAGCCUGGAGAUAGCUGGUUCUCCCCGAAAGCUAUUUAGGUAGCGCCUCGUGUAUCACUACCGGGGGUAGAGCACUGUUUCGGCUAGGGGGUCAUACCGAUUUACCAAACCGAUGCAAACUCCGAAUACCGGUAAGUGCAGCACGGGAGACACACGGCGGGUGCUAAGGUUCGUCGUGGAAAGGGAAACAGCCCAGACCGCCAGCUAAGGUCCCCAAAUUACGGCUAAGUGGUAAACGAAGUGGGAAGGCCCAGACAGCCAGGAGGUUGGCUUAGAAGCAGCCAUCCUUUAAAGAAAGCGUAACAGCUCACUGGUCUAGUCGGCCUGCGCGGAAGAUUUAACGGGGCUUAAGCCGUAUACCGAAGCUGCGGCUCGAUACUUUCUUCGGAUCGUAUCGGGGGUAGGGGAGCGUUCUGUAAGCCAGUGAAGGUGCGUCGCGAGGCGUGCUGGAGGUAUCAGAAGUGCGAAUGCUGACAUGAGUAACGAUUAUGCGGGUGAAAAACCCGCACGCCAGAAGCCCAAGGUUUCCUGCGCAACGCUAAUCGGCGCAGGGUGAGUCGGCCCCUAAGGCGAGACCGAAAGGUGUAGUCGAUGGGAAACAGGUCAACAUUCCUGUACCGGCCGUAACUGCGAUGGGGUGACGGAGAAGGUUAGGCCUACCGGGCGUUGGUUGUCCCGGGGAAAGUAGGUAGGCGGGCGCUUUUGGAAAAUCCGGAGCGCCGUUAACGCCGAGAUACGAGACCACCGGCAUUGCCGGGAAGUGGCUUACACCAUGCUUCCAGGAAAAACCUCUAAGCAUCAGGUUACGGGCGACCGUACCGUAAACCGACACAGGUGGGCAGGGAGAGAAUCCUAAGGCGUUUGAGAGAACUCGGGUGAAGGAACUAGGCAAAUUGGUACCGUAACUUCGGGAGAAGGUACGCCUUUGACGGUGACGGGACUUGCUCCCUGAGCUGUCGGAGGCCGCAGUGACCAGGUGGCUGCGACUGUUUACUAAAAACAUAGCACUCUGCUAACUCGCAAGAGGAUGUAUAGGGUGUGACGCCUGCCCGGUGCCGGAAGGUUAAGUGAUCCUGUUAGCCCUUUUGGGCAAAGCUCGUGACCGAAGCCCCGGUAAACGGCGGCCGUAACUAUAACGGUCCUAAGGUAGCGAAAUUCCUUGUCGGGUAAGUUCCGACCUGCACGAAUGGCGUAACGAUGGCCACACUGUCUCCACCCGGGACUCAGUGAAAUUGAAAUUGCUGUGAAGAUGCAGUGUACCCGCGGCUAGACGGAAAGACCCCGUGAACCUUUACUACAGCUUUGUACUGGAUCUUGAGCCAGCUUGUGCAGGAUAGGUGGGAGGCUUUGAAGCGAGGACGCCAGUUCUCGUGGAGCCAACCUUGAAAUACCACCCUGGCUUGUUUGAGGUUCUAACCCAGGCCCGUUAUCCGGGUCGGGGACAGUGCAUGGUGGGUAGUUUGACUGGGGCGGUCUCCUCCCAAAGAGUAACGGAGGAGCACAAAGGUACCCUCAGCGCGGUCGGACAUCGCGCAUUGCGUGUAAAGGCAUAAGGGUGCUUGACUGCGAGACGUACAAGUCGAGCAGGGACGAAAGUCGGUCUUAGUGAUCCGGUGGUUCUGUAUGGAAGGGCCAUCGCUCAACGGAUAAAAGGUACUCCGGGGAUAACAGGCUGAUACCGCCCAAGAGUUCACAUCGACGGCGGUGUUUGGCACCUCGAUGUCGGCUCAUCACAUCCUGGGGCUGAAGCAGGUCCCAAGGGUAUGGCUGUUCGCCAUUUAAAGUGGUACGCGAGCUGGGUUUAGAACGUCGUGAGACAGUUCGGUCCCUAUCUGCCGUGGGCGUUGGAAACUUGAGGGGAGCUUCUCCUAGUACGAGAGGACCGGAGUGGACGUACCUCUGGUGUUCCGGUUGUCACGCCAGUGGCAUUGCCGGGUAGCUAUGUACGGAAGGGAUAACCGCUGAAAGCAUCUAAGCGGGAAGCCCACCCCAAGAUUAGGUUUCCCGGAUCUUCGGAUCCCUGAAGGGCCCUUGAAGACUACAAGGUUGAUAGGCUGGGUGUGGAAGCGCGGCAACGCGUGAAGCUAACCAGUACUAAUUGCCCGUGCGGCUUAAACCG